GGUAUUGAAAUAAGAUUUUAAAUGAGUGCUAAGAGAAUGAUUAAACAAUUAAAAACUUUCUUUAAUUAAAUAAUUAAAUUUAAUUUUUUUUGUGCAAAAGCAAAAAUAAAAUUUAGGGACAAGAAGACCCUAUGAAUUUUUAUUAUUAAUAUUUUGCAAUUAAAUUAUUAAUAAUUUAAUUGGGGCGAUAAAAAAAGAAUAAAUAUCUUUUUAAUUAUUAAAUAAGUUCCGUUUUUAGCGAUUAAAUGAAAAAAAUACUCUAGGGAUAACAGCGUAAUAAUUUUGGAUAGUUCAUAUAGAUAAAAUAGUUUGCGACCUCGAUGUUGGAUUAGGAUUCUUUUUUGGUGUAGAA
RNAcentral lists this ribosomal RNA (352 nucleotides) under Ixodes scapularis (black-legged tick). RNAcentral describes it as "partial 16S ribosomal RNA". Lineage: Eukaryota; Metazoa; Arthropoda; Arachnida; Ixodida; Ixodidae. The record is from RNAcentral.